RNAcentral lists this ribosomal RNA (492 nucleotides) under uncultured bacterium. RNAcentral describes it as "partial 16S ribosomal RNA". It matches the Rfam family "Bacterial small subunit ribosomal RNA", at positions 28 to 507 of the family's 1533-position model. The record is from RNAcentral.
GAUGAACGCUAGCUACAGGCUUAACACAUGCAAGUCGAGGGGAAACGACAUCGAAAGCUUGCUUUUGAUGGGCGUCGACCGGCGCACGGGUGAGUAACGCGUAUCCAACCUGCCCACCACUUGGGGAUAACCUUGCGAAAGUAAGACUAAUACCCAAUGACGUCUCUAGAAGACAUCUGAAAGAGAUUAAAGAUUUAUCGGUGAUGGAUGGGGAUGCGUCUGAUUAGCUUGUUGGCGGGGUAACGGCCCACCAAGGCGACGAUCAGUAGGGGUUCUGAGAGGAAGGUCCCCCACAUUGGAACUGAGACACGGUCCAAACUCCUACGGGAGGCAGCAGUGAGGAAUAUGGGUCAAUGGACGAGAGUCUGAACCAGCCAAGUAGCGUGCAGGAGGACGGCCCUAUGGGUGGUAAACUGCUUUUAUAAGGGAAUAAAGUGAGUCUCGUGAGACUUUUUGCAUGUACCUUAUGAAUAAGGACCGGCUAAUUCCGUG